This 447-nucleotide ribosomal RNA is filed under the name uncultured bacterium. RNAcentral's name for it is "SSU rRNA". It matches the Rfam family "Bacterial small subunit ribosomal RNA", at positions 26 to 518 of the family's 1533-position model. The record is from RNAcentral.
AGAACGAACGCUGGCGGCAUGCCUAACACAUGCAAGUCGAACGAGACCUUCGGGUCUAGUGGCGCACGGGUGCGUAACGCGUGGGAAUCUGCCCUUAGGUUCGGAAUAACUCAGAGAAAUUUGAGCUAAUACCGGAUGAUGACGUAAGUCCAAAGAUUUAUCGCCUAGGGAUGAGCCCGCGUAAGAUUAGGUAGUUGGUGGGGUAAAGGCCUACCAAGCCGACGAUCUUUAGCUGGUCUGAGAGGAUGAUCAGCCACACUGGGACUGAGACACGGCCCAGACUCCUACGGGAGGGCAGCAGUGGGGAAUAUUGGACAAUGGGCGAAAGCCUGAUCCAGCAAUGCCGCGUGAGUGAUGAAGGCCUUAGGGUUGUAAAGCUCUUUUACCCGGGAUGAUAAUGACAGUACCGGGAGAAUAAGCCCCGGCUAACUCCGUGCCAGCAGCCGC